This is a non-coding RNA of Podarcis lilfordi (Lilford's wall lizard), 205 nucleotides long. The record is from the annotation of a GenBank genome assembly. Lineage: Eukaryota; Metazoa; Chordata; Lepidosauria; Squamata; Lacertidae.
UAGACAAAUGGAGACACUUUGGAGACAAAUCCUGUUGGAGAACAUGCUAUGAUUAUUAAAUACAUAGUUUGCUGAACAUUACCGUACUUUGAUAAGCCACUGUGUGUGUGUGUGUGUGUGUGUGUGUGUGUGUGGAGAUUUUAGCCCCCCCCCCAGCUAAUAAAUAGCUAGAAGCCUUGCACCUGAUGUUACUGAGUAAUUCUAA